Leptomonas seymouri is the source of this 95-nucleotide non-coding RNA. NCBI's taxonomy places the organism in Eukaryota, Euglenozoa, Kinetoplastea, Trypanosomatida, Trypanosomatidae. The record is from the annotation of a GenBank genome assembly.
UGAUGAGACUCUUUUUCGCUGCCACUGAGCGCUCCACACGUGGGGCGUCGCGUGAUGCACACAUUCACUACACUGUAGAACUGUCGUUUCUCUGA